This 758-nucleotide long non-coding RNA is filed under the name Carica papaya (papaya). RNAcentral's name for it is "long non-coding RNA (CPAP_LNC004812)". The record is from RNAcentral. Lineage: Eukaryota; Viridiplantae; Streptophyta; Magnoliopsida; Brassicales; Caricaceae.
UGCCUCUUUGGUGGUUUUGUUCUCGAGGGAGCAACAAAAUGUAGAAGAGCAAUUUGUUUCGUUUGGGCAUCGUGAUCCAUCAUUGAAUAAAGAUCAAAUUAGACUCCUAACAUUGGCAUUGUUAGAAUUCUAUUAGCAAUUCUCUCUGCUCAACUUUUCAUCUCUGAAAUAGGUGUCUAGCAAAGACCAGGAGGAGGAGACUAUUGGUUUUGUCUGUUAAAUAUUUACAUAUUACAGUUUUGGCACACCAUAAACUUGGGUUUUCUGCUUCUACCUGUUGCUCUGACAAAAAAGAAAUGCUUUAUUUCAAGGUGGCUGCAGUCAGCAGUGCCUUACAGGUCAUGGUUUAGCACAAUAGCUAAUUUUAAAUCAACAUAACUUCAAAUCCCACCUGCCAACACGAGGGCCCCCCAAAGGAUAACUCGAGUAUGUUCAUGGUGCACAUGAAAAGAGACUGCACCUGCCCAAGGAUCAGUCCAGUGCUGAUGGGGCAUAAGCCAUAGGAAAAGUAGAUAAGCCAUGUAAGGGGAAAGAAAUUAGGAGAAUAAAGAGAACUCUAUACUCAAUCCUAAGAUAAGUUUUCUGCAUUCUUAAAUCAAUUUAUUGAUAUUUCAUUCCAUCAACUCCCCCCGACCUUGCCUCGAGAACAAAAAUCAAUAAAUAGCAAAUCAAUGAAAGAAAACUCCUUAUUCAUGCUAUUUUUCUAGUGGUUAUGAGGAAGUGUAAUACAAGUCAGGUAACAUAACUCAAUUUGAUAC